UUUCAAAAUGUUCGGUUUCAGUGACCUGGUGCAGCGCUUGCGUGAGGAUGAACGGCCAAACCGCAUAGAAAAAGCUGCUGUUUUGAAAAUAACCGCGUUCGUGUGGACGGCCAAUGAGCGCGCGCGUUGAGCAUUCAAAUCAUAUUUAAACUGAAGCGGAGGAGGUUACCAUGGUAACAGGGCGUCAACUCACUCAGCUGACAAGAAGCAAGAGGCUGUCUCUUCUGCUGUUUUCACUGCUUUCAGGUAAGUUUAGUCCCUAAAGUUACACAAAUAAUACAUACAACUGUUCCUGACACUUUCUUACAUGUUACUGACACGUUUCUGUUGAAUCUUUACUUUACAGGAGUGGUUUAGUGUCUUCAAAAAGACCGUUAGCAUCACAACCGUUAACUAUAGAGGCUAACAAUUAGAGGAGCGUCAGAAAAAAAUACCUAAAACAGGGGAAGUUACAAGAAAAUUUGUAAUGAGAGCUGCUGACAGAGAUACAGGAAACACAGAGCUGGAGCGGAGCGGAUCUCCUGUCGUAGAACAUCUCCAAAGCGCCAUGAACCAUCUGACUAGGCAGUUCGUGAAGACGGAUAACCUGGACAGAAGUCGGUUCCAGAUCCAGCCUCCACACCAGACUUCUCACUCACAAGGAUUGCUGUCUACUAGAUAUGUGUACUCUUCAGACUUAGGUUCAUGCAGAUAUUAUUCAGGGACAUGAACACUUGAAUACUGCAAAAAUAGAGAAACUACCUUAUUUAAGAAUUUUGUGUUAAUUGCGUGAACAUUAAACAAAUAUAUGUUUUUUUUGUUUUGUAUUCCAAAGCACCUAAAAGCCAAUUCACACUGCCAUACACCAACAGGGUGAACACACUGACCAAGCAAAACAAAUAAGCAAGUUUUUAUAGUUUUUGUGAAAGUGUGA
Molecule: long non-coding RNA, 913 nt
Organism: Onychostoma macrolepis
Lineage: Eukaryota; Metazoa; Chordata; Actinopteri; Cypriniformes; Cyprinidae
Exons: 4
Source: RefSeq, a predicted model, not a curated record